CGCGCCACGCCGCGCGGGACCGCCCCCCUCACCUGACGCGGCCUAAAUCACUGCUGGAAAUAAUCAUUAUGAGGGAGUGGCUGACACAGUGAAAGGCAGAGCCUCAGUCCAGAGGGACCUCUCUAAAUGGGAGGUACCGGACCACUUGGAUGUUCACAGAGUCCAGCAAGUAGAAGUUCCAGGGGUGCCUGGUGCACAAGGGUGAGGGAGGGAUAACACUGAGCAUCGGUCCAGGCUGGGAAGUGACUGGUGGAGCUGCUCAAUAGGAUUCGGAGGUAACUGUGAAUAUGAGCUUGAACAUGGGCCAAAAGUAAUUCUCACUGUGAAUAAUGCAAACUGCUUACUAGGCUGUAUGAGGAGGACCAUCGCCAGCUCAGUGGAGGGGUGUUGGAGACUCUUGGGUUUCUGUGAGUCCAAAAAGCUCUUCAAGACAAUGCAUUAUAUAAGGAGAAAUGCGUGAUGAUGCUGGCAAAGUGCAAGAAAGAUUCCCUCGCAACCCUCUGCAGACCUGCCAAGGUUGCACGUUGUCAGACCCCUGGAAACCCAAGUGCUUCAGCAGGGAGACCGAAGUGGGCAGGCAUGCUGGCAGAAUAUGGCAGGCAAGAUGUUUUGCUGUGUGUUAGGCACUGGAGUGAACACUAUACAGCUUGCUGGCACGGCCUAAAUAACUCAUUGCCUGGAUGGGGCUGCCAUGAUUGCUGCGCCAGGGUGCCAGCAGCACCAUCACUUCUGCAUCCUCCUGGGGCCAUUGCUCCCAGCAUGCUGGUAAAGGCAAAGGUUAGGGUGGGUCUUGCGACACAGCCUGUUCCUUUCUCAGUCAAAAUGGGAGUUUUUUGGCAUUGUCUGCUGUCCUUCAGCUUGUUCUUAUGUUUUGCUUCUGCUAGGCGUUGUUUUCUCUGGAGGCCUGGGAUCCUUGGCCACACAAUGUUUCCAGUGCUGCUCUUGCCGAUACCACUGUGGUUUCUGCUGGAGUUUCCUGGAUGUUACUUGAAACAGCAUAAUCACUUACUCAUGUGCAACCAACGACCACAUGGAAGCUGCUCACAAAAGAAGCCGCAGCCUUUGUUAACAAAGGAACUCCUGUCUGUUUUAUUUUUUCCAACCAAAAUUCCCCAAACAAAUUAGUUAAAUUUCUCCCUUUGUUCUGGCUUUUGUGUUUGCUCUCACUUAUAAGC
Molecule: long non-coding RNA, 1175 nt
Organism: Aquila chrysaetos chrysaetos
Lineage: Eukaryota; Metazoa; Chordata; Aves; Accipitriformes; Accipitridae
Exons: 3
Source: RefSeq, a predicted model, not a curated record